UCCCUGGUGGUCCAGUGGUUAAGAUGCUGCACUUACAAUGCAGGGGAUACAGGUUCAAACCUUGGUCAGGGAA
Molecule: non-coding RNA, 73 nt
Organism: Cervus elaphus (red deer)
Lineage: Eukaryota; Metazoa; Chordata; Mammalia; Artiodactyla; Cervidae
Source: the annotation of a RefSeq genome assembly